Molecule: ribosomal RNA, 249 nt
Filed under: uncultured bacterium
Lineage: Bacteria
Description: partial 16S ribosomal RNA
Rfam family: Bacterial small subunit ribosomal RNA
Source: RNAcentral
UGGGGAAUAUUGGACAAUGGGGGCAACCCUGAUCCAGCAAUGCCGCGUGUGUGAGGAAGGUCUUCGGAUUGUAAAGCACUUUCGACGGGGACGAUGAUGACGGUACCCGUAGAAGAAGCCCGGCUAACUUCGUGCCAGCAGCCGCGGUAAUACGAAGGGGGCUAGCGUUGCUCGGAAUGACUGGGCGUAAAGGGCGUGUAGGCGGUUUACACAGUCAGAUGUGAAAUCCCCGGGCUUAACCUGGGAGCU